RNAcentral lists this transfer RNA (74 nucleotides) under Halobacteriales archaeon QH_10_67_22. RNAcentral's name for it is "tRNA-Lys". It matches the Rfam family "tRNA". Rfam says of the family: Transfer RNA (tRNA) molecules are approximately 80 nucleotides in length. The record is from RNAcentral. RNAcentral also lists the same sequence under 4 other names. Lineage: Archaea; Methanobacteriati; Methanobacteriota; Halobacteria; Halobacteriales.
GGGCCGGUAGCUCAGUCCGGCAGAGCGUCUGACUCUUAAUCAGACGGUCGAGGGUUCAAAUCCCUUCCGGCCCG